RNAcentral lists this ribosomal RNA (490 nucleotides) under uncultured bacterium. Its description in RNAcentral is "partial 16S ribosomal RNA". It matches the Rfam family "Bacterial small subunit ribosomal RNA", at positions 30 to 507 of the family's 1533-position model. The record is from RNAcentral.
AUUGAACGCUGGCGGCAUGCUUUACACAUGCAAGUCGGACGGCAGCACAGAGAAGCUUGCUUCUUGGGUGGCGAGUGGCGAACGGGUGAGUAAUAUAUCGGAACGUACCGAGUAAUGGGGGAUAACUAAUCGAAAGAUUAGCUAAUACCGCAUAUUCUCUGAGGAGGAAAGCAGGGGACCUUCGGGCCUUGCGUUAUUCGAGCGGCCGAUAUCUGAUUAGGUAGUUGGGGGGGUAAAGGCCUACUAAGGCGACGAUCAGUAGGGGGUCUGAGAGGAUGAUCCGCCACACUGGAACUGAGACACGGCCCAGACUCCUACGGGAGGCAGCAGUGGGGAAUUUUGCACAAUGGGCGCAAGCCUGAUCCAGCCAUGCCGCGUGUCUGAAGAAGGCCUUCGGGUUGUAAAGGACUUUUGUCAGGGAAGAAAAGGCUGUUGCUAAUAUCGACAGCUGAUGACGGUACCUGAAGAAUAAGCACCGGCUAACUACGUG